RNAcentral lists this ribosomal RNA (507 nucleotides) under uncultured bacterium. RNAcentral's name for it is "bacterial SSU rRNA". It matches the Rfam family "Bacterial small subunit ribosomal RNA", at positions 28 to 537 of the family's 1533-position model. The record is from RNAcentral.
GAUGAACGCUAGCGGCAGGCCUAACACAUGCAAGUCGAGGGGUAGAGUGGCUUCGGCUACUUGAGACCGGCGCACGGGUGCGUAACGCGUAUGCAAUCUACCUUAUACAGGGGGAUAGCCCAGAGAAAUUUGGAUUAAUACCCCAUAGGAUAUUAGAGUGGCAUCACUUAGAUAUUAAAGUUUCAACGGUAUAAGAUGAGCAUGCGUCCCAUUAGUUAGUUGGUAAGGUAACGGCUUACCAAGACGAUGAUGGGUAGGGGUCCUGAGAGGGAGAUCCCCCACACUGGUACUGAGACACGGACCAGACUCCUACGGGAGGCAGCAGUGAGGAAUAUUGGUCAAUGGUCGGAAGACUGAACCAGCCAUGCCGCGUGCAGGAAGACGGUCCUAUGGAUUGUAAACUGCUUUUGUACGGGAAGAAACACUCCCUCGUGAGGGGGCUUGACGGUACCGUAAGAAUAAGGAUCGGCUAACUCCGUGCCAGCAGCCGCGGUAAAUAGUACUCUA